AUACGUAGGUGACAAGCGUUAUCCGGAUUUACUGGGCGUAAAGGGCGUGUAGGCGGUCUUGCAAGUCAGAAGUGAAAUUCCUGAGCUCAACUCGGGCGCUGCUUCUGAAACUGCAGGACUUGAGUGCUGGAGGGGAUAGCGGAAUUCCCAGGGUAGCGGUGAAAUGAGUAGAGAUUGGGAAGAACACCAGUGGCGAAGGCGGCUUACUGGGCUGUAACUGACGCUGAGGCGCGAAAGCGUGGGGAGCGAACAGGAUUAGAUACCCUGGUAGUCCACGCUGUAAACGAUGAAUGCUAGGUGUAGGGGGUAUCGACCCCUCCUGUGCCGGAGUAAACGCAAUAAGCAUUCCGCCUGGGGAGUACGGCCGCAAGGUUGAAACUCAAAUGAAUUGGCGGGG
Molecule: ribosomal RNA, 397 nt
Filed under: uncultured bacterium
Lineage: Bacteria
Description: partial 16S ribosomal RNA
Rfam family: Bacterial small subunit ribosomal RNA
Source: RNAcentral